CGAAUGCUGACAUAAGUAACGAUAAAGCGGGUGAAAAGCCCGCUCGCCGGAAGACCAAGGGUUCCUGUCCAACGUUAAUCGGGGCAGGGUGAGUCGACCCCUAAGGCGAGGCCGAAAGGCGUAGUCGAUGGGAAACAGGUUAAUAUUCCUGUACUUGGUGUUACUGCGAAGGGGGGACGGAGAAGGCUAUGUUGGCCGGGCGACGGUUGUCCCGGUUUAAGCGUGUAGGCUGGUUUUCCAGGCAAAUCCGGAAAAUCAAGGCUGAGGCGUGAUGACGAGGCACUACGGUGCUGAAGCAACAAAUGCCCUGCUUCCAGGAAAAGCCUCUAAGCAUCAGGUAACAUCAAAUCGUACCCCAAACCGACACAGGUGGUCAGGUAGAGAAUACCAAGGCGCUUGAGAGAACUCGGGUGAAGGAACUAGGCAAAAUGGUGCCGUAACUUCGGGAGAAGGCACGCUGAUAUGUAGGUGAAGCGACUUGCUCGUGGAGCUGAAAUCAGUCGAAGAUACCAGCUGGCUGCAACUGUUUAUUAAAAACACAGCACUGUGCAAACA
RNAcentral lists this ribosomal RNA (555 nucleotides) under Escherichia coli. RNAcentral describes it as "partial 23S ribosomal RNA". It matches the Rfam family "Bacterial large subunit ribosomal RNA", at positions 1291 to 1831 of the family's 2925-position model. Lineage: Bacteria; Pseudomonadati; Pseudomonadota; Gammaproteobacteria; Enterobacterales; Enterobacteriaceae. The record is from RNAcentral.